UUUCCCCCAAUUUAAUUUGAAACAACCCGACCCAUUUUUUUUAAAUAUAAUUAAAUAUUCCCAUAAAUGACUAAUUAACCCAACUAAUAAAAUAACAAUUAAACCGCAAGUCAAAAAUACUAUUUUAUGAAUAAAUAAAUAAUUCGACCAACAAAACCAAAAAUAACUAACAAUCCUAACCGGGUUCCAAUAACCAAAAAAACCAAAAAUAAAACAAACGAGUUCUUAGAUCAUCCUCUCUUCCUUGCCAUGAUUCCACAAUCACACUUUAUCUUACCUGCAUUAACAACACAAUGAGAUGCGUAAGUAUUAUCAUAAAUAUUUAGUGAGGCGAUCCUCCCAUCUACGAGCUAUACACACAAGCAAAUAAAAUGGUAUAAUCACAAAUACAAUACAAACAAACCAGUCAUUAACAAUUCAUCCAAAACACAUUCACCACACCUACAUAUCAUCACACAGAACAAAUCACACAACCCAAUCGCUCAGAUAAGCUCAUGGUCACGCACUCACCUUAACAAAUUGAUUCUAAUAACAAUUAAACUCAGGAGAGACUCUCCUUGAGUCUGAAACAGUCCAGAAACGUCCUACAACAAGUCACAACCAAAAACAACCUUUGAAACAAACUGGACACAAUAAACAGAAACAAACUACCUCAAAGACGAAACCCUAAAAUACAAACUAACCGUUAACUAUUAAAUAUCUCCGGUGAAACGUUAGCCCUAGACGUCACGAAGUUUCCACAAAAUAUCGUCCCGAUCGGAAAACAUACGAGACCACGAUCUCAAUUUCAAUCCCCGCUGGUCUUAAUUCGCGUCUGAGAAAACGUGUCUCACGAAAUUGCGAAUAACUCAACCAAUUUUAAUCCAAAUCCAAAUCAAUCUUUUUAUUUAAUUAAUGUAGAAUGACACAUGUCAUUUUUUUGUGUAAUGAUGUGUCACUCAUAUGGAAAGAGUUGCCUAACUUUCAUAUAUAUGAUUAUUAGAAGCAUAAAAGAAUUAAUCAAA
Molecule: small RNA, 1004 nt
Filed under: Arabidopsis thaliana (thale cress)
Lineage: Eukaryota; Viridiplantae; Streptophyta; Magnoliopsida; Brassicales; Brassicaceae
Description: ATSL277820
Source: RNAcentral